AAGAUGGUGAGAUAUGCGCCGGCGCCUCUGGAGUUGUGUUUCGGAUGGGCGCACUCUUUAUAUAGAUACCAAUGCGAGGAUUAUCGACAAGUGUUAGACGGAUACGUCUGCGCAGUGUGUGGUGUUAUAUGUGUAAAUGUGGACAUGCGUAAAAAAUAAAUAAAGAUGUGGCCGGCGUAUGUUGAUAUACGCGCAAGUGCAUAGGCAUAUGCCGGUGGCAAGAUUACUUAUUGGUGGAAUUUUUUCGUGAAUUCCAUAAACGCAGGCGCCACGCGAGGGCUAUUGUGUAUGCCAAGGAAACGUUGGCAGAUUUUAUUUGUUUUAAAUUUGGAGUCGUGGAUCGACAGCCACGUUACGUGAAUUGUGUUAGUAGAAUAAGUAUUUAUGUACGGAUGGAAAAUAUAUGUGUAUAUAUGUGUAUAAUAAUAUGCUUAUUUAGUAUAUGUAUGAAUUAAUAUAUGAGUGAUAUAUGUUUGUGCCUUUUGAUGGUUGCAAAAAUAUAUGCACUUGUGUAUGCUGAUAUGUGAGUGUUUAAUUCCAAAUUUAUUGUUGCAUGUGAGGUUCAUAUGGUGUUGUAUAUGUAUGUGCAUAUGUACGUUUACUGUUAAGGAGACGGCGAUUACAAAUGCAAAUUAAUGCGGAUGGACGGAUUUAUUAAAUUUGUUUUUAAUAAUGUGUUGCAAUUGUGUUUUAUGUUGCGGUACCUGCCGUUGGCAAGCCGUUUUGGUUGCAGACAAGCUGCCUUAUAGGAGGCGCGAAGGAUGGAAAAUCACUUCCGCAGUGGCUGGUUUGAGCCCUUGGAUAGGGAACGGAAAGCUUGAUGCUAAUUCCGUUUUGGGGGUCGGCGGACAGACCGACAGAACAAAUGGCGGAAUCCAACGGUGCCAAGAACAAGCUGGGGCGAACGGAUGAGAUCUUGUGUUUAAAAAUGGCGGCGUAAGAAAAACCUUGCACUUUUCGUUUUUCCUCUGUUCACUUUUCAGAUUAUGCCGUCUCACCAGUAAAGCGCUUACAAACUAAUUCGACUAUUGUGGAGAGAGGCAGCGAAGCGGGCAUCGCUCUGUUAACUAACAUAGGCGCUAACAGCUGUUAGUAUUGACUGCUGCUGCUGCUGCGCCAGCUUCGGCUGUAGUUAACAGCGCGCUGCCGCAUAAACAGGUAUUAAAGAUAAAAGACGGAAAUGUCAUUAAAUGUAAAAAUGCAGUCUUUUCAACUAACAACCAAUGCAAAAAAAUUAAUAAAAUCAGUAUGUGCUUAAGAUCAAAUAUUGUAGAUUUUUCAAAUGACAACUGCAUUUCAAAGUUAAUAACAAAUAGACCAAACAAUCGUACCAUCAUUAACGAUAAUCACAUAAAAGCAAUAGAACUAAUAGAUACAGGUAUUCUUCUUCUGAACAACUUUAGUGGUAAGAUUUCAAGUAAUAAUGAAUCCCAAACACUUAAGGGAUCGUUCAUAAUUAAAUUUAAUAAUUGUACAUUAGAUAUAAUUAUAUAUAAAUCAGUUUUUUUCAUCAUACGAAACCUCUAGCUAUAAGCCACUACCAGCUAUGAUUCAACUGGAGAGGCCGCUGACAACGAUGGAGGAGGUUCUAUCCCUACAACUGAUGAAGGACCUGAACAUCAAAAAUACAGAAAGGAUAAGUGCUCUGCAACCUAACCUCAAGGCAAACACAUUCUCAAGUAUUGGGAUAUCAGCUGGAGUUGUGUUUAUGUUCAUCACCUACGUAGUAAAGCUAAAGAUGUGCGGACCGAGCACAAAAGUAGUGGAGAAACAAAGCAAUCCCUCAAGCGAAGUGCUGCGCCCAAAGAGGACCAACACGGCAGAAACUCCCUCGGAAAGCCAUACUAAAAAACCUAGAAGCAUCCAUGAUCUCCCCGGAUUUUAAUUCAUCGACCGCGACGUUCGAGAUAAGGGAGGGAGGAGUUAACAGUUUAGUUACUCAAAACGCCAACAUUGAGUACCAAAUUGUCGCACUGACCGCCGCACGUGGCAAAUCAACGUGCUGGGAAAUGCUGACAUAAAGUGUUGAGUAUCUAAUUCGGUGCAUACGGGGUCAACGCGCUGGCAAGCCAGCUACCGUGGGAUCGCAACCUCAGCAGUCUGCGGAACCGAUGGCGACUAUUGGUUCCCAAG
Scaptodrosophila lebanonensis is the source of this 2133-nucleotide long non-coding RNA. RefSeq lists it as uncharacterized. The record is from RefSeq and is a predicted model, not a curated record. NCBI's taxonomy places the organism in Eukaryota, Metazoa, Arthropoda, Insecta, Diptera, Drosophilidae. The transcript is spliced from 3 exons.